UGAACUCUGAAGCUACAUGAAGUUUGAAAGUGUGUAGUGAUGAACUCUGAAGCUACAUGAAGUAUUUACCAUUUAACUGUUCAAUUAUUUUACAGUUAACACCACAACUCCUAUGAGUGUUUCUAAAUCUACACCUAAAACCAACCAAACCAAGGGAGAUAAGCAAACUCCCGGACCAAAAAAACCUCCAACAGAAUCUCCAACAACACCUCCAAAAGUAAAAACCACCCAAACCACCCCAAAUAAACACAAAGAUGGAUCCAGUGCCAGCAUAACAUACAUCAUCAUCAUCCUCGUCAUCAUCUUGUGUAUUACUGGAGCCAUUGGUUUCUGCUGUUAUCAGAACAAAAGCAGGACCUUCUCUCUAGACAGAAGCAGUAAAAGUGAAGAUGCUCAUAUUCCCCUCAGUACAGUGGAGCCGGAAGUGUUUGAAGCCAGCGCGUCUAAAGAUAUGGAAACCUUUACUGCGACUGAAACCUCUGGAACAGUUGAGAGCUCCCCACCGGCCGAGGCUGUGGAGAAAAAGGAAGAGGAAAAAGCAGCACCAGCAGCUGAAGCCCCUCAGCCGGAGAAGGAAAGCUCGGCUGAGAGCCAGGCCACUGUUCCACUAGUGGAGAAACCGGAGGAGCUGACCGUCGUGGAUCUGAAUGAUGAAGAGCAAGCCAUCUCCAACAAAACCUCUAUUGAAACUCUGGAGGAAACACCCAACGAAAACAACAGCAACAACCGAGCACAAGCACGCGGUGGGCACGUGAAAAAUGCUAAUGGCAACUUCAUUGAAAUCAACCUUGAUGACCUGCUUUAAGCCAAGCUGAACCCACUUCCUCUCCAUUUUCACACAAUGACUGAGAAGAAAAUGAGCCUCACACCUGACCAGACAAACGAACCUGCAUUACGGACAACACACACAGACUAUGUAUAUAUAUANNNNNNNNNNNNNNNAGUAACUGCAUAUUAUUUCAAGUAAAACAUUUUUAGGGCAAAAUAUAUAAAACUUUAAUUUAAAUGCAGUUACCUAAGAAAGGUCAGUUGCUUUAUAGAAACCCUUUAUUUAAUACUUUAUUACAUAAUUUAUUAGUCUAAUGUCUGUAUAUAGUAGGGUCAAUUCUAAAUUAUUAUAAACUAAAACUAUUCUAAAUUAUUAUUGUAUUGUUAUUAGCCUUGGUAUAGACCUGAAUUAUUAUUCUUUACAUUGAUUUAUAUGAUUUUAAAUGCUUAUAGUUAGAUUUUUGAUUAUCAUAUUUUUUGUAAUAUAGUAAAUAUUGGUAUUAAAAUGAAGUGCUUAUUACUAUAAUGCUCUAAAUCUGAGGGCAGCAUUUCAUCUCCAAUAUACGUAUAUAUAUAUAUGCAUUCUCCAUUCUGAUGUGAUGAUAAAAGCCAUGGGUAGGUUUUUUUAUUGCUAAUUUCAGGCUAUUUCAUUCUUGUAUUGCAUUGAAUUUUGUUAUUAUGUUAGGUUAAGUUUUUACCGGACUGUUUUUCUUUAAAUGAUUUUGAAAGAUUUGUAAUUUACUUGUAUUUACAGCAACAAUCAAACUAACUAAAAUUAUCUCAUUUUUUAGAAAUGGCAGUGUUAACAUUAUUACUAUCAUUAAUAUUAUAAUUAUUUGUGCAAGGAUUGUUCCCAGACAUUAGCAACCACGCAACACACAUCAGGGACUUAUUCAUACUUUUAUAUAUUUACUGUGUGUAGAUGCUAAAUGUUGAUACAUUGUCAUUUAAAUCAAACAAGUACAUUUUUGUCUGUAUACUAAAAUAUUUAAACUCUGUCUAAAUGUAUUUGAAUAUUUUUAAAAUCAAUAUAAUGUAUGUGUUUGUGCUGUGGUUUUAUAACUUAUGUAGGGAAAUUCAUAGGGACUAAGAAGGUUUUUCACAUACGGAUGCACCAAAUAUUCUGAACCUAAAAUGUGACCAAAAAGGGCACUAUUUUACUUACAUAAAUAAGUAAGACCAAAAAGUGCAAUGAUAUGAUGAUUUGAUAUAUGCUUUUUCUUUGACAGAAUAUCAAGACAAAAUACACAAUUUAAUUUCUGCAAUACUUAAAAAUUGCUAAAUGAUUGAAACCUGCAAAAAACUUUGAUAUUUUACCUCUUUUAUUUUAUUUUAUUUUAUUUAUUUGCUAAUUUGAGAUUCAGUCAGAAAAAAAAAUUGGAUUACAUAUGGGCAGAGCCUCCGUCAAGUAAUUGAAGAAGUUUUGACAAUCAAAUAAGUAUGUCUAAUUAGAGUAUGCUUUUAUUUUUUGUAUACUUUAUUUGUAUUUUUCAACCUCUGUGAAGAAACAGGAUGCAUGGGAAUGUGUGUUUGACUUUUAGCACUUGUAAAAAUUGUCAUUGCUGUUUAUCAUUAAUUGUUAUGUUAUUAUUAUUAACUUAAUGAUUAUUAGAAGCAAUCUGAACCUGAUCUGUUGCUGUAAACCUUCAUUAAAAAUUAUUCCACUGCUGUGUUUUAUAUGCUGCUGGUAGGCAGUCUGCUGUAGGUUGAGCCACUAUAAAAAUGCCUCCAUGCUUUACGGCUCAUAGGAAGUAGUUUAGACAGUAAGAGCUCUCUCAGCUUUCUUUAUGAGGCUUCUCCUCUUCUCCAGACAGUGUGGGAAGAUCCUGCUCAACAUCACUGCUACUGAUUUUAUAGAACAGGAUCUUAGGUUAAAUUUACACAGCAGGUAGGAUAGCCCAAAUCCCAUUUUCCCACCAAAUAAAAUAAAAAAAACUUGAUGUACA
This 2714-nucleotide long non-coding RNA is filed under the name Astyanax mexicanus (Mexican tetra). RNAcentral's name for it is "lncRNA (ENSAMXG00005007030.1)". The record is from RNAcentral. Lineage: Eukaryota; Metazoa; Chordata; Actinopteri; Characiformes; Acestrorhamphidae.